GGCCUCCAGGAUUGUGAGUGGCCUCUGGGAGCUGAGGGAAGCUUCCAGUUGAUGUCCAACAAGAAGCUGGGAUCCUUAGUCCUACAGGCAAAGGACACAAAUUCUGUCAACAACCUGAGUGUAUUCCUGGUCCUGCUCAGUGCUCUGGCAGGGUGAACCUCUACUGAUUGCAUCAAUUUGCUCCCUUUUCUCUGGCUUCUCAAUGGGUUCAGCCAAUGGGAGGCACCAGCAGGAAAUCAAAGAAUGGAAGGCAAGAGAAGGCUGCAUUCAAGAGCAUGUAAGCAUCUAAUGUGCAUGCACUGAACUUCUUCAAGGGACAAGAACCUGGCUCCUGAGGCCUGUGGGCUUCCACUUGACACCAGGAAUUCUAAAGUGCCCACACUCAAAAGAAGUCAUUCUCUUCCCCGGUGUCCUGAUUGAAAAAGAUGUGGAAAUGUUAAUUUACAAAGAACAUUAGACUCAUGUAUAUCUCUCUGGGGAGACACUUCUACUGUGGUAAAGCCAGCCUCUGUGUUAUGAGGACACUCCAGCAGUCCUAUGGAGAGGAUCAUGAGGAGGGAAACCAAGAUCUCCAGAGGAACAGACACCCCCUGACAACAUCCAGGGGAGUAAGCUGGGAAGCAGAUUACCUGGUCUUGGUCAAGACUUCGUAUGACUGCAAUCCUGGCCAGCACCUUCACUGCAACUUCAUGAAAGAUCCUAGACCAGAACCAUCCAGUUAAGCUGUCCUGUUUUUCCAACCCAUGGAAAUAAUGAGAAAAUAAAUGUUUGUUGUUUUAGGUCAUUCUAUUUUGGAAUGAUUUAUCAUAUAAUAAUCAAUAACUAAUACAGUACCAGGGGCAGGUUUUAAUUUGGAAUGAGUGUAUAGGAAAAUAUAAAGAAUAUGGUCAGAAAAAUUUAUCUUUUAUCCUUUAUUUUUUUUAUAUAUAGAAAUUAAUAGGCAUUAUGUAGAGAAAAUAGGAACACUUUUCAUGGGGUAUUUGGGUUGCAAAGUCAGAAAAUAUAACUCACACUUAUGUCAUCAUCGUUAUAAUUCUUACCAAAUACUAUUAAAAAUAAACUAUUUCAAAUAGUACUCUUGUAUUCAAUGACUUUUAUAAAGCCAUUGAAUAACAUAUCCCAGCUCUUAGGAACUCACAGAAUAUAGCAAUCUCUAC
This 1157-nucleotide long non-coding RNA is filed under the name Equus caballus (horse). RNAcentral describes it as "lncRNA (ENSECAG00000031606.3)". Lineage: Eukaryota; Metazoa; Chordata; Mammalia; Perissodactyla; Equidae. The record is from RNAcentral.